This 39-nucleotide ribosomal RNA is filed under the name ascomycete sp. Artz 105. Its description in RNAcentral is "partial 18S ribosomal RNA". The record is from RNAcentral. Lineage: Eukaryota; Fungi; Ascomycota.
GUAACAAGGUCUCCGUUGGUGACCAGCGGAGGGAUCAUU